RNAcentral lists this RNase P RNA (343 nucleotides) under Allobrachymonas sp. RNAcentral describes it as "RNase P RNA component class A". It matches the Rfam family "Bacterial RNase P class A". From Rfam's summary of the family: Ribonuclease P (RNase P) is a ubiquitous endoribonuclease, found in archaea, bacteria and eukarya as well as chloroplasts and mitochondria. Its best characterised activity is the generation of mature 5'-ends of tRNAs by cleaving the 5'-leader elements of precursor-tRNAs. The record is from RNAcentral. Lineage: Bacteria; Pseudomonadati; Pseudomonadota; Betaproteobacteria; Burkholderiales; Comamonadaceae.
AAAGCCUGCCAGGCCGCCGCUGGUGCAUGGCGGGAAACCGCGCACUGGAGGAACGUCCGGACUGCACAGGACAGCGCAGCAGCUAACGGCUGCCCACUGAAAGCGCCGCAAGGCGUAUAAGGUGAGGAUUAGAGCAACAGAGACGAGCCGCUUUAGGUAGCGGGUGAAACGGGCAAUCUCUGCGCGCAGCAAUGCCAAGUAGGCCAGUUUUGGUGUGGUUCCGCACUUAGCUGGCGGGUAGGCAGCACCGAGCCGUGGGGCGACUCGCGGCCCAGAUGAAUGGCGGCUAGCGCACGGGGUUUCUCGUGCGUCACAGAAUCCGGCGUAUCGGCAGGCUUUACUC